AUGGAGAACACCGAUUUCUGUUUGUCUAAGAAGAUUGAGAAGAGUGUCUGCAACGGCAAUGGCAUUUCUGAUUUGUAUAGCGAGCUGAGCAGGAACUUUUCUGAACCGAAGGCGCAGACAUUGAUGAAAAAUGAUUCACAUCAGGGAGGGAAACACACAAUGACAAUCCCUCGGAUUAUUCUCACUCAUCCCUCUACCUCGGAUGAAGAUGUGGAGCUUUUGACACAGAUCCCCAGCAGAGAGACUUUACAUGACUCUGAAAUUCAUGACACACACUCACACUGUUUUGACAGCGCUUUCUACCCACCUUGACCAGUGAGUAGGGGGACAUAAAUGAAUAGACAUAGACUGUUAUAACCCGGCUCUUUUCUUUUGUAAUGUUACUUUCCAAACUGCUGGAAUGAUUUACAUGCAUAAUGUAGUGAUAUUAGAGUUUAUUUUUAUUACUAAAACCACAGAGUUUUCCCUGUACAACUCAAUAGAACAGAGACUGGAGAUCAUGAUAAGAAUGCCCAAAUGAAUUACUGUACAUGUCGUAAUAUGAAAUACAAUCAAUUAAACAAUGAAUGCUGCUGGCUACCUCUACUUCUCACCGCUGUGCUGUAAAUAAUGGAUGUGCUGUAAAUAAUGGAUGUGCUGGCUGAAAUAGUGUCACCGCCCAUGACAGUGUGAAGCACUCAAAGCUUUUAUAGUGUGUACUGAGAUAUAAUGCCACACUGCGGAACACCAUGCCGUCCGCUUCCUGCAGAGUCCUGAUGCAGAAUUAACUUAAUUCCCUCUCACAACAUCCAGAUUGAUGGGAUUACACACUCUGCCUUUUGAAAAGAGAAAAACAGAACAUCUUGCUUAUCAUUACCUGCUUUGUGUUGUUUCACAGCUCUUUCAU
Molecule: long non-coding RNA, 886 nt
Organism: Trematomus bernacchii (emerald rockcod)
Lineage: Eukaryota; Metazoa; Chordata; Actinopteri; Perciformes; Nototheniidae
Exons: 3
Source: RefSeq, a predicted model, not a curated record